Molecule: ribosomal RNA, 433 nt
Filed under: uncultured bacterium
Lineage: Bacteria
Description: partial 16S ribosomal RNA
Rfam family: Bacterial small subunit ribosomal RNA
Source: RNAcentral
AACGAACGCUGGCGGCAUGCCUAACACAUGCAAGUCGAACGAGACCUUCGGGUCUAGUGGCGCACGGGUGCGUAACGCGUGGGAAUCUGCCCUUCGGUUGGGAAUAACUGAGAGAAAUUUCAGCUAAUACCUUAUAAUGUCUUCGGACCAAAGAUUUAUCGCCGAGGGAUGAGCCCGCGUAGGAUUAGGUAGUUGGUGGGGUAAUGGCCUACCAAGCCGACGAUCCUUAGCUGGUCUGAGAGGAUGAUCAGCCACACUGGGACUGAGACACGGCCCAGACUCCUACGGGAGGCAGCAGUGGGGAAUAUUGGACAAGGGGCGAAAGCCUGAUCCAGCAAUGCCGCGUGAGUGAUGAAGGCCUUAGGGUUGUAAAGCUCUUUUACCCGGGAUGAUAAUGACAGUACCGGGAGAAUAAGCUCCGGCUAACUCCGUG